This 253-nucleotide ribosomal RNA is filed under the name uncultured bacterium. Its description in RNAcentral is "partial 16S ribosomal RNA". It matches the Rfam family "Bacterial small subunit ribosomal RNA", at positions 524 to 776 of the family's 1533-position model. The record is from RNAcentral.
UACAGAGGUCUCAAGCGUUGUUCGGAUUCAUUGGGCGUAAAGAGCGUGUAGGCGGCUCGAUAAGUCUGCUGUGAAAGUCCAGGGCUCAACCCUGGAAGGCCGGUGGAAACUGUCGGGCUAGAGUCCGGAAGAGGCGAGUGGAAUUCCCGGUGUAGCGGUGAAAUGCGCAGAUAUCGGGAGGAACACUAAUGGCGAAGGCAGCUCGCUGGGACGGUACUGACGCUGAGACGCGAAAGCGUGGGGAGCAAACAGG